AGAGUUUUGAUCCUGGCUCAGGACGAACGCUGGCGGCGUGCUUAACACAUGCAAGUCGAACGCUGAAGCUCCCAGCUUGCUGGGGGUGGAUGAGUGGCGAACGGGUGAGUAACACGUGAGUAACCUGCCCCGAACUCUGGGAUAAGCGCUGGAAACGGCGUCUAAUACUGGAUAUGUCCUAUCACCGCAUGGUGUGUAGGUGGAAAGAAUUUUGGUUCGGGAUGGACUCGCGGCCUAUCAGCUAGAUGGUGAGGUAAUGGCUCACCAUGGCGACGACGGGUAGCCGGCCUGAGAGGGUGACCGGCCACACUGGGACUGAGACACGGCCCAGACUCCUACGGGAGGCAGCAGUGGGGAAUAUUGCACAAUGGGCGCAAGCCUGAUGCAGCAACGCCGCGUGAGGGAUGACGGCCUUCGGGUUGUAAACCUCUUUUAGUAGGGAAGAAGCGCAAGUGACGGUACCUGCAGAAAAAGCACCGGCUAACUACGUGCCAGCAGCCGCGGUAAUACGUAGGGUGCAAGCGUUGUCCGGAAUUAUUGGGCGUAAAGAGCUCGUAGGCGGCUUGUCGCGUCUGCUGUGAAAACUGGAGGCUCAACCUCCAGCCUGCAGUGGGUACGGGCAAGCUAGAGUGCGGUAGGGGAGAUUGGAAUUCCUGGUGUAGCGGUGGAAUGCGCAGAUAUCAGGAGGAACACCGAUGGCGAAGGCAGAUCUCUGGGCCGUAACUGACGCUGAGGAGCGAAAGCAUGGGGAGCGAACAGGAUUAGAUACCCUGGUAGUCCAUGCCGUAAACGUUGGGAAGCUAGAUGUAGGGCCUGUUCCACGGGUUUCUGUGUUCGUAGCUAACGCAUUAAAGUCCCCC
Molecule: ribosomal RNA, 860 nt
Filed under: Leucobacter musarum subsp. musarum
Lineage: Bacteria; Bacillati; Actinomycetota; Actinomycetes; Micrococcales; Microbacteriaceae
Description: bacterial SSU rRNA
Rfam family: Bacterial small subunit ribosomal RNA
Source: RNAcentral